Molecule: ribosomal RNA, 497 nt
Filed under: uncultured bacterium
Lineage: Bacteria
Description: partial 16S ribosomal RNA
Rfam family: Bacterial small subunit ribosomal RNA
Source: RNAcentral
GAUGAACGCUGGCGGCGUGCCUAAUACAUGCAAGUCGAGCGAACAGACGAGGAGCUUGCUCCUCUGACGUUAGCGGCGGACGGGUGAGUAACACGUGGAUAACCUACCUAUAAGACUGGGAUAACUUCGGGAAACCGGAGCUAAUACCGGAUAAUAUAUUGAACCGCAUGGUUCAAUAGUGAAAGACGGUUUUGCUGUCACUUAUAGAUGGAUCCGCGCCGCAUUAGCUAGUUGGUAAGGUAACGGCUUACCAAGGCAACGAUGCGUAGCCGACCUGAGAGGGUGAUCGGCCACCCUGGAACUGGGGCACGGUCCAGACUCCUACGGGGGGCCGCAGUAGGGAAUCUUCCGCAAUGGGCGAAAGCCUGACGGAGCAACGCCACGUGAGUGAUGAAGGUCUUCGGAUCGUAAAACUCUGUUAUUAGGGAAGAACAAAUGUGUAAGUAACUAUGCACGUCUUGACGGUACCUAAUCAGAAAGCCACGGCUAACUACGUG